GCCCCGGUGGUGUAGUGGUAUGGCACGCGUCCUCGCUAUGGAUGAAACGCGGGUUCGAUUCUUGCCUGAGGCC
Parelaphostrongylus tenuis is the source of this 73-nucleotide non-coding RNA. NCBI's taxonomy places the organism in Eukaryota, Metazoa, Nematoda, Chromadorea, Rhabditida, Metastrongylidae. The record is from the annotation of a GenBank genome assembly.